Molecule: long non-coding RNA, 971 nt
Organism: Amblyraja radiata (thorny skate)
Lineage: Eukaryota; Metazoa; Chordata; Chondrichthyes; Rajiformes; Rajidae
Exons: 2
Source: RefSeq, a predicted model, not a curated record
AACUCUCUGACUGCUAAACUUCCCAGCAACUGCUCAUCCCAACAGCCGGCGCCCUCCACCCCCUCACCUGCCAGCGUCUCCUUCACCCAGUCCCGCUGGGGUCCGGCAUGGUCAGGUGCGUCCGUCGUUCUGUGCGUAGGAUCAGCGCCAGGAGCCGCCGGCUGAAGGUGCACAGUUACACCAGGCGAAAACCUGCAAGGACUUCGUCAAAGAACAGUUGCAUAGCGGGACCCGCACACGGGGAUGCCAAUAACUCCACCGCCACCAAAUGGAUUAAAAAGACAACACAGUCGCCAUGUGACCCACUAUCCAACCUCAGGGGAAUUAUUAACUAACAAGUUGAUUUGGCCAAGAUGGGUUUGUUUGUUUUUUAAGUGUUUGGGGGAAAUAAGAGGCAAUCCUGUGCUUGGGAUUUAAAAAAACGUAGAGAUCCGUUUGUAGUUGUUUUAAAGUAGAGAAAUGCAGGUUGUUGUCAUGGUGACGCCGAGUUUGAAGAGGGAUCCCAGGAGACGGGAUGUGGGCGUUUCAUUCAGAAACAAAAGCGACAACAGAAAGAGAGACAGUGUGCAACGAACGUUAAGCUGCAGCGACUCCGAGCCAGGGAGCACUUGUUAGCAAAGCAAGCCAGGCAGAAAUUACAAGAUGUUCGCAGAUUGUUUUAGAUUAGAACAAAAUUCACUUUUGAUGAUGAUUUUUUUUUUCUAAACUCACUUGUAAAUUACUUUGGUAUAAUCUGAUCAGCAGGAGAAUGAUAUCUAUUGUGUGAAACUUAUUUUUUUUUUUUAGUUCUUUUUAAAUCUCGUUUCCAAUUAAAAAAAACAUUUCCGUCUCAAUUUGAUUUUCUGCGAAAAUUGGUACCAAGAUCCGGCUACAGUUUAUGUCCAGCGAUACUACUCUUGGACGUUAUUAUGCGUAACCAUUACAUUUGAUAAGAUUCGUAAGGAAGAAAUUAAAUUAAAAUUCGAACCCCC